GAGUUUUGAUCAUGGCUCAGAUUGAACGCUGGCGGCAUGCUUUACACAUGCAAGUCGAACGGCAGCACAGGGAGCUUGCUCCCGGGUGGCGAGUGGCGCACGGGUGAGUAAUACAUCGGAACGUGUCCUGUUGUGGGGGAUAACUGCUCGAAAGGGUGGCUAAUACCGCAUGAGACCUGAGGGUGAAANCGGGGGAUCGCAAGACCUCGCGCAAUUGGAGCGGCCGAUGCCCGAUUAGCUAGUUGGUGAGGUAAAGGCUCACCAAGGCGACGACCGGUAGCUGGUCUGAGAGGACGACCAGCCACACUGGGACUGAGACACGGCCCAGACUCCUACGGGAGGCAGCA
Molecule: ribosomal RNA, 347 nt
Filed under: uncultured bacterium
Lineage: Bacteria
Description: bacterial SSU rRNA
Rfam family: Bacterial small subunit ribosomal RNA
Source: RNAcentral